AUGACUGCCUUUGAGGUUCCUCUGGAGAGUUUUUCAGGCAGCCUAGGAGGGUCAUUCAUCGUCCAGCAGGGCUGGGGAGGCAGGAGGUUGGCCCAGGCGCACCAACAACUAGCUGAUUUAAAGAGUAUAAUCUGACUGUAUCCUGCUCAUUUCCUUCCUCACCUAUGAAACCAUUCUAUCUUCUGGACUUCAAACAACUAUUGGUAGUUUCCAGUGAGGCAAUGAACCUGAGAGUUCUUUGUGAGUGACUCCAUCGAUGUUACGUAUGGC
This 270-nucleotide long non-coding RNA is filed under the name Capra hircus (goat). Its description in RNAcentral is "lncRNA (ENSCHIG00000007117.1)". Lineage: Eukaryota; Metazoa; Chordata; Mammalia; Artiodactyla; Bovidae. The record is from RNAcentral.